This 3060-nucleotide long non-coding RNA is filed under the name Lactuca sativa (garden lettuce). RNAcentral's name for it is "long non-coding RNA (LSAT_LNC001340)". Lineage: Eukaryota; Viridiplantae; Streptophyta; Magnoliopsida; Asterales; Asteraceae. The record is from RNAcentral.
AAAGCAUCAGUUUUGGCAUUAAGGUGUUUGUUAUUAGGAACUAGGAUGUUUCUUUCACUAAAACUAAUUUCAUAUUUGUCUUUCAAAAUAAUACAUUCAUCCUUAUUCAUUACAAGUUCUCUCUCUAACUAUUCAAUCACAAUCUUACGGUCUUCACAAUGUAAUAUAAGACGAGUCAAUUCACUAUCCAACUUCUCACUAACUUCUAUGGAAGACUCAUAGGCUCUAUGAAUAACUGUCAUAUAUGAUUGUUUUAAGCAAGAUAAGGUUCACAAAUAGAUAAAUCAAAACAAUUGUCAGUGAUCAUGGAUUUUACUUGUAGGAUGGUGCUUCUACCUGGAGGAUCAUUUGUUUCCAUAUGUAACAAAAGUUAGGCUCAACAUCGUCAUCCUUUACUUCAGAUCUAGAAGACCAGUAUCCUUCAUCACAUUAAAUUCAUUGUAUACCCAUAAGACACACGUUUCUUGACACCAUGGUAACAAAAUCCUUUUCACUUUCACCUAGUUCUUGUGCUCUAUGAGCAUACUAGAUAGAGUCUUUUACCUUCGGUUUCUAAGAAAUAUAAGCCAAACAGUCCUUUGAAAAGUGCUUUCUAAGACCACAUUUGUGACAGCUAACCUUGGGUUUGACUGGUUUCGGAACAUCCUGAGGUUCCGAGGAAUGAUUUGGAAUGUUGGGUUGGUAAGCUAGUGGAUUUUGUGCUGGUUUAGGAAAGGGUUGAGGAUUGAUUUGAUGAGGAUCUCGACAUCGGUUUGGAAAGGUUUAUGAUUGGGAUUCCAGGGACAUUUAUACUUCAUAGAAAAAAGUGAAAAGUCUUGUUGAAAGCGAUGUUCAGAAUCAGCUGAGUCGAGAUCAAGAUUAAUUUUCAUCAAUGAAUGGCUUAGAACAGGUGAGAUAGGUGGAGUAGGAAGUGUUGGUUGAACAUGUGAAAUGGGUGGGAUGGUUCCAAAAGGAUCUAAAACAUAUGGAUUUGGAAUUAGUGGGUUGACAGAGCUAACUAAGGCAAUAGGACCUCCUGACAAUCCUCUUAGCGUUUGAGAAACGUUAGAUUCAUGGCCCUAUAGUUGGUUAAAUAACCGAUAGAGCUUCAGUUUCUUCAGAGAUCCGUUGCUCUAAAGAAAUUAAUUAACAUGACCCCAUCUUUUUUUAGACCAUUGAUGAAAUUCAGAUUUUACUCGAGUGGAUUUGGACUAUUCCAUGUGCAGUCAUGUUGUUCACGAUGAUCCUAUACCGAUUUGAUGCAGAGGAUACAUAUUCACCCAUAGUUGUAGUGAAGGUGUCGAAGUCAUUAACAACAGAUGUCGAACCCCUAUCCUUCAUCUUCUCAGAACCUUCGAACAAGUCUUGAACUGUAUCCUAAAUCACUUUGGCAGAUUUGCCGAAUUUCAUGUGCUCAAAGAGAGAAUGAGGAACACCAAACACUAUUUCAGAGAAUGCAAUCUGAUCUGCAUGGAGCUUCUCAAUGUCGGAUGCGGUUAGAGGUAUUGGACGUUGUCCAUAUUGACCAGAGAGUGCAACAACAACAUCUAUAACCAAUUGUCUAACAGGAACAUGAGGACCUUCUUUCACAAAUCUCCAUAUCACUUAACCUUUUUCCUUACCAAGUAAAAAUCUCUCCAUUCUAAAUUCCCAGUCAUCAUACUCUUCAACAAACAACAAUGGGGGUACGCGUUAAGCAACCCACGCUAUUUGCUAUUUACAUUGAAUACAUAUGUUGAGUUUUAUUAGAAGCAGCCAUUGAAGUUAAAGUAUUAGAGCUGAAGUGGUAUAUAGAAGAAAUUUUAUCCUGAACACAUAAAUGACUUAGAUACCAAGGUUACUUUUGAUGAGGCAUCUACAUCCAAAAAUGUGUAAGAAUGAUAUACUCAAUUUUUGACCAUUCAUGGCUUCGUACGGUAUCAUGUUAAGACGGUGAUUAAUGAUGCUUUGAUUUUGAGUGAAGCAAGUACUAGAGACGAUUUCAGCCCAAAAGAUAGAGAUUAAGGAUUACGAAUUUCAACAUUGAUCGAGCGACUUCAACGAGAGUUCAGUUUCUUCUUUCAACCACACCAUUAUGUUGAGGAGUGUAGGGAGCAUAGAAAUUAUGGUUGAUGUCUUUACCGAAGAGAAAUUUCUCAACGGUUCCAUUAGUGAAUUCAGAGCCUUUGUCACUUCAGAUUCUUCGAACAGGGAGUUUGACAAGAACUUCAAUUCCUUUAAUGAAAUUAAUGAUUUCGGUGGCUAUUUUGGAUUUUUCCCCAUAGAAGAAGACCCAAGUGAACCGUGUGUAGUCAUCAAAAAUCACAAGAAUAUACUUUUUGUAAUGCAAACUUUCUACAGUGGACGGUCCACAAAGAUCGAUACGAAGAAGUUCUAAUGGUUCUGAAAUUAACAUUUCAAUUAUAAUAGGAUGACCUUUCUUGGAUCGCUUCCCACAUUCACACACAACAUAGAGAUGAUCAUUUUCGAAUUUAAGGAGUGGUAGACCUCAGACCAUUUCACCAGAUGCAAGAUCAUUCAUGUAUCAGAAGUUGAGAUGAACGAGCCUCUGAUGCUAUAACCAACUUAUGUCAGGAACGAGCUUUGAAAGAAGAAAAUGUUGAGUUUUUCAGAUGAUCAUGUUGAUGCCUAAGGGUACAUAUUUUUUUAUGCAAUUUGAUUUUAUAAGACAUUCUUUCUGAUCUUUUGUCAUAAUGUUCGUGUGCUUUUUGCAGAAUUCAACUAUAUGGUUUGCAUUAGUGAGUUAAGGCACAUUGAUCAGAUUAUCCUUGAGAUCAGCUACAUACGCCAGAUUAGAGACAGAGAAAUUUCCGUUAGUCAAGACGCCAUAACCUCGAAUUUUUUAUUUUCAAUUGCUUCCAUAUGUCACGUAACCAGCAUUAGGAGCGAGCUUCAGAUCACGCAAAAAAACAUUCUAUGGAAGACUCAUAGGCUCUAUGAAUAACUGUCAUAUAUGAUUGUUUUAAGCAAGAUAAGGUUCACAAAUAGAUAAAUCAAAACAAUUGUCAGUGAUCAUGGAUUUUACUUGCAGGAUGGUGCUUCUACCUGGAGGAUCAUUUGUUUCCAUAUGUAACAAAAGUU